This 1032-nucleotide long non-coding RNA is filed under the name Junco hyemalis (dark-eyed junco). Its description in RNAcentral is "lncRNA (ENSJHYG00000012955.1)". The record is from RNAcentral. Lineage: Eukaryota; Metazoa; Chordata; Aves; Passeriformes; Passerellidae.
AUGUGCUGUGGGUUAGGAAACAUUCUCAUCGUGGAAUCGCAUUUGCAGCAAUCCUACCCCCCGCCGCCUGCUCGCUUCUGGCUAUCAGGCUCUGCUGCAGCUCGUGGUGGUGGUGAUGGACACGUGAACAGCAGAGCUCAGCACAGCUCCUGGUUCAGCAGAGCCUCAGAUCUCCAGGAUUCUCUUCAUUCCUCCUGGAAAUGUGUGAGCACAAACUGGGCCCAGUUUGUUCCACCCAGGGUAACUGGAGCUGGUUAUCCAGACUGAAGGUUAAGAAGACUGAAUAUGGUGGGUUUGUCCCAAAAUGAGCUCUAUUUCCUUACCUGGAGGUGGGAUGACAUGGAAAUCAGCAAUGACAGCUGUAUUUCACAUCUGCAGUUCAGCUCUACCAUCAUUGCCAGCAGUUGUGGUGUUACCAGGCAGCAGCAGCUUCCAUCGCAGGUAAAAACCUUCCAUACCCUGGAGACUCCUUGCCCAUAUUAAAGGUCUUGUUUACAGACAGGGAAACUGAGUCAAAGAGCAUUGAUCCAAGUCCUCAGAGAUCAGUGGCAGACCAUCCAGAGCCCCACUUCUCCAAUAACUUCUGCAGCUAUUACAAGCAGGAAGAAAGGGCAGGAGUGCUUUUAGGGGCAUAAUUGAAAUCAGAUGAAUCACUGGAAGUCUUCCUGUCCAUUCAGUGGGCUUCACAUGAUGAUUUCUAAUAGUCAAGACUCAGAUUAUUUAGGGUGCACUGCUGGGGGCAGGGAAUGAGGCACGUAACUUGGGAAGCUCAGUCCUGGAGAGUCCUUUUGGAAGUGAAGCUGUAAAGCUUUAUAUGUACCUGAAGCAAAAUGUCUUUUUAUUUCCCUGUCAGCAUCUGCCUGUGAAAAGGAAAAAGAAAAGGCAGCCCAUUUGUGGAUGUUUUCUUGCUGCAACUCUGAAUUGGAAAUAUCUGUCCUUGAUUAAAGUGGGAAAUGCAAUUGCACAAGUCAUUAAUUAUUACUGAUAAACUGAAGUAGUGAUGGAGCCAAAUAAAAAUCUCCUGCCACUACA